Molecule: ribosomal RNA, 97 nt
Filed under: Acidimicrobiia bacterium
Lineage: Bacteria; Bacillati; Actinomycetota; Acidimicrobiia
Source: RNAcentral
GGCCACACCCGUUCCCAUCCCGAACACGGAAGUUAAGCCCACCAGCGCCGAUGGUACUUGGACGGAGACGUCCUGGGAGAGUAGGUCGCCGCCGGAA